This is a long non-coding RNA of Sapajus apella (tufted capuchin), 1496 nucleotides long. RefSeq lists it as uncharacterized. The transcript has 3 exons. The record is from RefSeq and is a predicted model, not a curated record. NCBI's taxonomy places the organism in Eukaryota, Metazoa, Chordata, Mammalia, Primates, Cebidae.
AUACCACUGCACUCCACCUUGGGAGAUAGGCAAGACUCUGUCUCAAAUAAAUAGAUAGAUAGAUUAGAUAGACAGACGACAGACAGACAGACAUACUGUUCCUUUUGCUGUAUUCCACUGACCCUACUAAUCAACCUUGAUACAGUGUGGGGCAUAAUGACACAAGGGAGUGAAUGCCAAGAAGGUAUCAUUGGGUCAUCUUGAAAGCUAUCCACCACACACACAGCAGGACAUAGAAGUUAUUCUUAGGUCCACACCACUGUGGAUCUUCUAGGUUUUUCUUUUCCCUUCCAUAGCAGCAGACCAUAAACAUUUCUUAUAUUAUGAAAUAGUGUUCUAAAAUGAGAUUUUUAUAUGUUUGCUUAGUAUUCAUUGUGAGGGCAUGCCAAUUUAUUUUACCAGUCUCUUAAUGUUAUUUUAUAAUUAGGUUGUUUUGAGUAUUUGACUAUUAUAAAUUAUAAUAUUUUCUUCUGUGAAAAUCCUUAAGCACAUCCGCUGCCAUUUACCUAAAAUAGAUUCCUAUCCUAGAAUGUUAUUCCUGGGUCAAGACAUAUAAACAUAUUAAGGGUUUUUACACAUAUUGUCAAAAUAUACUGCAGAAAUUUGUACCAAAUUUAUAUUACUUUUGCCAUAACAAAAUGAUGCCUAACUUACGUGCUUUUCAAUACUAGGUACAAUAUUUUUAAAAUACAAGGAGCCUGAUAAGAAAUAUAGUAUCCCAUAGUAGUUUUAAUUUUUUUUUGUUACUAAUAAGGUAGGGGAGCUAUUUUGAAGGUCUCAUUCUUGAAUCUAUGUAGUAUUUUUUGUCUUGAUUUUUAAAGGUAUCUUUAUCCUAAUUACUUUUAAAGUUGUAAUUAGUUCUCUUUAAAAUAUUUAUAUUUUGCUUUCUUUAAAAAUAUAUUUCACUGGAUGUUUUCAUUAAGGCUAUACAAUGGGAGUGGUUCAGUAAUGAACCUGGAAAUGUUGAAAAAUAAUUGAAUAACUUAAGCACUUUCAAAAUACCAAUUAGUUAGAUGGUUACUAAACUAAGUUUCUCUAAUUUAUAUUUUAUUGAUUGAACAUUUGCUAGAAUAAUGAGUUAAAAAGUGAGAAGAUGCUUUUUUUUUUUUUUUUUUUUUUACUUUGGUUGUAAGCCAUCUGCCAAAAUUUGGUGAGUGUUGAGGAGCAUUUGUCAAGGAAUGAAAUCAUAAUUGAGAGUUUUCUAGUUGAAAAAAAUAAUAAAAACACUGUCAGUGUUUCCAUGUCAUAGAAUGAAAAUGACUGUUAUUACUUGAAAAGUUUUCCUGCCCAGGACUUUCAUAUAACUGAUGUUCUGUGUGUUGUACAAAAAAGAAAAAAAAUUAAUUUGCUGAACAGUUUUCUGGAUUUCCAAAAAAAUUUAUUUUGGUGUUUGAUGUUUUCAUAAUAAUUGGUUUUAAAUUUGAAAGUCGUUAAGUGGGUUCAAUAGUGAGAGUGGGUAGAAUAUGAGGAUACACAUUGUCUGGCAAGCCAGGAGA